UACGUAGGUGGCAAGCGUUGUCCGGAUUUACUGGGCGUAAAGGGCUCGUAGGCGGCCAACUAAGUCAGACGUGAAAUCCCUCAGCUUAACUGGGGAACUGCGUCUGAUACUGGAUGGCUUGGAUCCGGGAGAGGGAUGCGGAAUUCCAGGUGUAGCGGUGAAAUGCGUAGAUAUCUGGAGGAACACCGGUGGCGAAGGCGGCAUCCUGGACCGGUAUUGACGCUGAGGAGCGAAAGCCAGGGGAGCAAACGGG
Molecule: ribosomal RNA, 253 nt
Filed under: uncultured bacterium
Lineage: Bacteria
Description: partial 16S ribosomal RNA
Rfam family: Bacterial small subunit ribosomal RNA
Source: RNAcentral